UCGGGAAUAUUGCGCAAUGGAGGGAACUCUGACGCAGUGACGCCGCGUGCAGGAAGAAGGUUUUCGGAUUGUAAACUGCUUUAGACAGGGAAGAAAAAAGACAGUACCUGUAGAAUAAGCUCCGGCUAACUACGUGCCAGCAGCCGCGGUAAUACGUAGGGAGCGAGCGUUAUCCGGAUUUAUUGGGUGUAAAGGGUGCGUAGACGGGAAAUUAAGUUAGUUGUGAAAUCCCUCGGCUUAACUGAGGAACUGCAACUAAAACUGAUUUUCUUGAGUACUGGAGAGGAAAGUGGAAUUCCUAGUGUAGCGGUGAAAUGCGUAGAUAUUAGGAGGAACACCAGUGGCGAAGGCGGCUUUCUGGACAGAAACUGACGUUGAGGCACGAAAGUGUGGGGAGCAAACAGGAUUAGAUACC
RNAcentral lists this ribosomal RNA (415 nucleotides) under uncultured bacterium. RNAcentral's name for it is "bacterial SSU rRNA". It matches the Rfam family "Bacterial small subunit ribosomal RNA", at positions 355 to 786 of the family's 1533-position model. The record is from RNAcentral.